This 84-nucleotide transfer RNA is filed under the name Candidatus Kaiserbacteria bacterium RIFCSPHIGHO2_01_FULL_50_13. RNAcentral's name for it is "tRNA-Tyr". It matches the Rfam family "tRNA". From Rfam's summary of the family: Transfer RNA (tRNA) molecules are approximately 80 nucleotides in length. Their secondary structure includes four short double-helical elements and three loops (D, anti-codon, and T loops). RNAcentral also lists the same sequence under 2 other names. The record is from RNAcentral. Lineage: Bacteria; Candidatus Kaiseribacteriota.
GCGUCGGUGGCAGAGUGGUCAAAUGCACGUGACUGUAGAUCACGCGGACAUUGUCCUACGCAGGUUCGAAUCCUGCCCGGCGCA